This 1088-nucleotide ribosomal RNA is filed under the name Candidatus Phytoplasma mali. Its description in RNAcentral is "bacterial SSU rRNA". The record is from RNAcentral. Lineage: Bacteria; Bacillati; Mycoplasmatota; Mollicutes; Acholeplasmatales; Acholeplasmataceae.
UAGUUGGUAAGGUAACGGCUUACCAAGACUAUGAUGUGUAGCUGGACUGAGAGGUUGAACGGCCACAUUGGGAUUGAGAUACGGCCCAAACUCCUACGGGAGGCAGCAGUAAGGAAUUUUCGGCAAUGGAGGAAACUCUGACCGAGCAACGCCGCGUGAACGAUGAAAUAUUUAGGUAUGUAAAGUUCUUUUAUUAAAGAAGAAAAAAUGAUGGAAAAAUCAUUCUGACGGUAUUUAAUGAAUAAGCCCCGGCUAACUAUGUGCCAGCAGCUGCGGUAAUACAUGGGGGGCAAGCGUUAUCCGGAUUUAUUGGGCGUAAAGGGUGUGUAGGCGGUUUAAUAAGUCUAUGGUAUAAGUUCAACGCUUAACGUUGUGAUGCUAUGGAAACUGUUUGACUAGAGUUGGAUAGAGGCAAGUGGAAUUCCAUGUGUAGCGGUAAAAUGCGUAAAUAUAUGGAGGAACACCAGUAGCGAAGGCGGCUUGCUGGGUCUUAACUGACGCUGAGGCACGAAAGCGUGGGGAGCAAACAGGAUUAGAUACCCUGGUAGUCCACGCCGUAAACGAUGAGUACUAAGUGUUGGGUUAAACCAGUGCUGAAGUUAACACAUUAAGUACUCCGCCUGAGUAGUACGUACGCAAGUAUGAAACUUAAAGGAAUUGACGGGACUCCGCACAAGCGGUGGAUCAUGUUGUUUAAUUCGAAGAUACACGAAAAACCUUACCAGGUCUUGACAUACUCUGCAAAGCUAUAGAAAUAUAGUGGAGGUUAUCAGGGAUACAGGUGGUGCAUGGUUGUCGUCAGCUCGUGUCGUGAGAUGUUGGGUUAAGUCCCGCAACGAGCGCAACCCUUAUCGCUAGUUACCAUCAUUUAGUUGGGCACUUUAGUGAGACUGCCAAUGAUAAAUUGGAGGAAGGUGGGGAUUACGUCAAAUCAUCAUGCCCCUUAUGACCUGGGCUACAAACGUGAUACAAUGGCUGUUACAAAGAGUAGCUGAAGCGUGAGUUUUUAGCAAAUCUCAAAAAAACAGUCUCAGUUCGGAUUGRAGUCUGCAACUCGACUUCUGAGUCGGAUCGCUAGUAUCGSRAUC